UACGAGGGGUGCAAGCGUUGCUCGGAAUUAUUGGGCGUAAAGGGUAGGUAGGUGGUCUCAUUUGUCUGGGGUGAAAGCCUUGAGCUUAACUCAAGAAGUGCCCCGGAAACCGGUGAGACUCGAGUCUUGGAGAGGGUUGGCGGAAUUCCCGGGUGUACGCGGUGAAAUGCGGUAGAAGAUCGGGAGGAACACCAGAGGCGA
RNAcentral lists this ribosomal RNA (201 nucleotides) under uncultured bacterium. RNAcentral's name for it is "partial 16S ribosomal RNA". It matches the Rfam family "Bacterial small subunit ribosomal RNA", at positions 524 to 718 of the family's 1533-position model. The record is from RNAcentral.